GCUUUUAAAGGAUAACAGCUCAUCCAUU
This 28-nucleotide transfer RNA is filed under the name Stigmatogobius pleurostigma. RNAcentral's name for it is "partial tRNA-Leu". Lineage: Eukaryota; Metazoa; Chordata; Actinopteri; Gobiiformes; Gobiidae. The record is from RNAcentral. RNAcentral also lists the same sequence under 1 other name.